GGUAUAGACCCGAAACCCGGUGAUCUAGCCAUGGGCAGGUUGAAGGUUGGGUAACACUAACUGGAGGACCGAACCGACUAAUGUUGAAAAAUUAGCGGAUGACUUGUGGCUGGGGGUGAAAGGCCAAUCAAACCGGGAGAUAGCUGGUUCUCCCCGAAAGCUAUUUAGGUAGCGCCUCGUGAAUUCAUCUCCGGGGGUAGAGCACUGUUUCGGCAAGGGGGUCAUCCCGACUUACCAACCCGAUGCAAACUGCGAAUACCGGAGAAUGUUAUCACGGGAGACACACGGCGGGUGCUAACGUCCGUCGUGAAGAGGGAAACAACCCAGACCGCCAGCUAAGGUCCCAAAGUCAUGGUUAAGUGGGAAACGAUGUGGGAAGGCCCAGACAGCCAGGAUGUUGGCUUAGAAGCAGCCAUCAUUUAAAGAAAGCGUAAUAGCUCACUGGUCGAGUCGGCCUGCGCGGAAGAUGUAACGGGGCUAAACCAUGCACCGAAGCUGCGGCAGCGACACUAUGUGUUGUUGGGUAGGGGAGCGUUCUGUAAGCCUGUGAAGGUGGCCUGUGAGGGUUGCUGGAGGUAUCAGAAGUGCGAAUGCUGACAUAAGUAACGAUAAAGCGGGUGAAAAGCCCGCUCGCCGGAAGACCAAGGGUUCCUGUCCAACGUUAAUCGGGGCAGGGUGAGUCGACCCCUAAGGCGAGGCCGAAAGGCGUAGUCGAUGGGAAACAGGUUAAUAUUCCUGUACUUGGUGUUACUGCGAAGGGGGGACGGAGAAGGCUAUGUUGGCCGGGCGACGGUUGUCCCGGUUUAAGCGUGUAGGCUGGUUUUCCAGGCAAAUCCGGAAAAUCAAGGCUGAGGCGUGAUGACGAGGCACUACGGUGCUGAAGCGACAAAUGCCCUGCUUCCAGGAAAAGCCUCUAAGCAUCAGGUAACAUUAAAUCGUACCCCAAACCGACACAGGUGGUCAGGUAGAGAAUACCAAGGCGCUUGAGAGAACUCGGGUGAAGGAACUAGGCAAAAUGGUGCCGUAACUUCGGGAGAAGGCACGCUGAUAUGUAGGUGAAGCGACUUGCUCGUGGAGCUGAAAUCAGUCGAAGAUACCAGCUGGCUGCAACUGUUUAUUAAAAACACAGCACUGUGCAAACACGAAAGUGGACGUAUACGGUGUGACGCCUGCCCGGUGCCGGAAGGUUAAUUGAUGGGGUUAGCGGCAACGCGAAGCUCUUGAUCGAAGCCCCGGUAAACGGCGGCCGUAACUAUAACGGUCCUAAGGUAGCGAAAUUCCUUGUCGGGUAAGUUCCGACCUGCACGAAUGGCGUAAUGAUGGCCAGGCUGUCUCCACCCGAGACUCAGUGAAAUUGAACUCGCUGUGAAGAUGCAGUGUACCCGCGGCAAGACGGAAAGACCCCGUGAACCUUUACUAUAGCUUGACACUGAACAUUGAGCCUUGAUGUGUAGGAUAGGUGGGAGGCUUUGAAGUGUGGACGCCAGUCUGCAUGGAGCCGACCUUGAAAUACCACCCUUUAAUGUUUGAUGUUCUAACGUGGGCCCGUAAUCCGGGUUGCGGACAGUGUCUGGUGGGUAGUUUGACUGGGGCGGUCUCCUCCUAAAGAGUAACGGAGGAGCACGAAGGUUGGCUAAUCCUGGUCGGACAUCAGGAGGUUAGUGCAAUGGCAUAAGCCAGCUUGACUGCGAGCGUGACGGCGCGAGCAGGUGCGAAAGCAGGUCAUAGUGAUCCGGUGGUUCUGAAUGGAAGGGCCAUCGCUCAACGGAUAAAAGGUACUCCGGGGAUAACAGGCUGAUACCGCCCAAGAGUUCAUAUCGACGGCGGUGUUUGGCACCUCGAUGUCGGCUCAUCACAUCCUGGGGCUGAAGUAGGUCCCAAGGGUAUGGCUGUUCGCCAUUUAAAGUGGUACGCGAGCUGGGUUUAGAACGUCGUGAGACAGUUCGGUCCCUAUCUGCCGUGGGCGCUGGAGAACUGAGGGGGGCUGCUCCUAGUACGAGAGGACCGGAGUGGACGCAUCACUGGUGUUCGGGUUGUCAUGCCAAUGGCACUGCCCGGUAGCUAAAUGCGGAAGAGAUAAGUGCUGAAAGCAUCUAAGCACGAAACUUGCCCCGAGAUGAGUUCUCCCUGACCCUUUAAGGGUCCUGAAGGAACGUUGAAGACGACGACGUUGAUAGGCCGGGUGUGUAAGCGCAGCGAUGCGUUGAGCUAACCGGUACUAAUGAACCGUGAGGCUUAACCUU
Molecule: ribosomal RNA, 2243 nt
Filed under: human gut metagenome
Description: bacterial LSU rRNA
Rfam family: Bacterial large subunit ribosomal RNA
Source: RNAcentral